AGCAAUUAUACAGCGAAACUGCGAAUGGCUCAUUAUAUAAGUUAUCGUUUAUUUGAUAGCACCUUACUACUUGGAUAACCGUGGUAAUUCUAGAGCUAAUACAUGCUAAAAAUCCCGACUCUGAAGGGAUGUAUUUAUUAGAUUAAAAACCAAUGCCCUUCGGGGCUUCCUGGUGAUUCAUGAUAACUUUUCGAAUCGCAUGGCCUUGCGCCGGCGAUGGUUCAUUCAAAUUUCUUCCCUAUCAACUUUCGAUGUUUGGGUAUUGGCCAAACAUGGUGGCAACGGGUAACGGAGGGUUAGGGCUCGACCCCGGAGAGGGAGCCUGAGAAACGGCUACCACAUCCAAGGAAGGCAGCAGGCGCGCAAAUUACCCAAUGCUGACUCAGCGAGGUAGUGACAAUAAAUACUGAUGCAGGGCUCUUUUGGGUCUUGCAAUCGGAAUGAGUACAAUUUAAAUCCCUUAACGAGGAACAAUUGGAGGGCAAGUCUGGUGCCAGCAGCCGCGGUAAGUCCAGCUCCAAUAGCGUAUAUUAAAGUUGUUGUGGUUAAAAAGCUCGUAGUUGAACCUUGGGCCUGGCCGGCCGGUCCGCCUCACCGCGUGCACUGGUUCGGCCGGGCCUUUCCCUCUGCGGAACCGCAUGCCCUUAACUGGGCGUGCCGGGGAAGCAGGACUUUUACUUUGAAAAAAUUAGAGUGCUCCAGGCAGGCCUAUGCUCGAAUACAUUAGCAUGGAAUAAUGGAAUAGGACGUGUGGUUCUAUUUUGUUGGUUUCUAGGACCGCCGUAAUGAUCAAUAGGGACAGUCGGGGGCAUCUGUACUCAGCUGUCAGAGGUGAAAUUCUUGGAUUU
Molecule: ribosomal RNA, 848 nt
Filed under: Swampomyces triseptatus
Lineage: Eukaryota; Fungi; Ascomycota; Sordariomycetes; Torpedosporales; Etheirophoraceae
Description: SSU rRNA
Rfam family: Eukaryotic small subunit ribosomal RNA
Source: RNAcentral